AUGGUGGCAACCUUCACGUGGUCCUCCCUGUUAAGUACACUUUAAUCUAUGUGUACAAACUAAUGCCACCACUUUGCAGAUUUAACGAUCAUAUGUCAACUUCCCAGUCAAAAUAGCAACUUUUCCAAGAAAGACUCUUUCAAAGCCACACUCAUCAGCUAACAGACCUGUUGAUUCGUCUAGGCCAAUUUAAUGCCGAGGGCCUAUCUCGUUCAAAAGUUGAUGGACAAUAACAUAAAUGUCCUGGCAAUGCAAAAAACACAUGUUGCGGAAGAAGACUCAGCAUGCCUCAAGAUAGCAAGAUAUGUCCUUCUCUCCACCCAAAACCAUCCAAGACUUGGAAUGGCUGCCUACAUCAGGCCACAACUAAAACACAUAGCCAAAGCACUGCCAGAAACUGUCAGAUACAUCACUGGUAUCUGAGUCAGGGAGCUGACAAUGUAUAAUGUGUACAAGCUGCCCAGCUAUCAUAGAAUCAUAGAAUAUCCGGGUUGGAAGGGACCUCAGGAGGUCAUCUAGUCCAACCCCCUGCUCAAAGCAGGACCAAUCCCCAACUAAAUCAACUAAAACUAUCCGGGGCCCUUACUCCUACCAAAAUAACACCUCCUAUAAUAACAUCUUGGUGAUUUUAGCAGCCAUCAUACAGAAUGGACUAUUCGAUGAACAACACUGCAGGUGAACAGCUUACUGAGGGGGCAUCAGUACCUGCUGUUUGAUACAAAAUGAAAGGAUACCUUCUGCUCAGCCUGACAGAAGAAAGAAUACACACCUGUCUUAUGUUUUGUGCCCACAGACUGCAGUGGAUCACCACUCAUUGCACCACAGAUUGUCCAGGACCUCUUUGUGCACAGGGCAGUGGUGGUACCCAGUGGCCUCAAACUCCCCAUCAUUACCUGUGUUACCAGUUCCAUGCUGGAACCUGAGACAGGUGGAUUGGCUGGGUUUCUCCACUGAUAUCUAAAAGCCAUCAGCAGCAUACCACCAAAGCCCAAAAACUUCAACCCCUUCACACAUUUUUUAUUAAAGCUUCAAAGAAGAAUAUUCCCAGCUACAGGAGCUUCUUUGCUGGAGCCCACAGAGUGAAAUGCUCCUACGGGACUAUAAAGCUGCUCUGACCUGGACUGCUGUCCUGGAAUCGUUAGAUUAUACAAGAUGACAACAAUGGCUGGAGAUGGUGGAAGCCACAGACUUCAUGGACUCCAGCUAUAAGGCAUAGGCCCUUCUGCAGCACCAUCACACACAUAAAUGUUGGAAGUCACUGCAAACAGCAUUGCCAGCCUCCCAGUAAGAAAUUAAAAGAUGACCAUAAGCCAACAAAUGAAAAAAGGGGUGAAAACAGCUCUUAAGGAAUCCUGCCCCUUCAACAAGUCUCUGUCAAUCCUCCACAAGAGCUGAGAUUGAUGGUACCCUCUCUGAAACCAAAGCAGGAAAAUCAGCUGGCAUUGAUGGAAUUGUUUCAGCCUUCCUUAACCAUCUCUGACCAAGAGGGCACUUCUGGGUGGCAGCACAAUUCACAGAAGUCAUCACCACUAGCAAACUCCUAACAGCUUGAAGACGACCAAAGGUUAUCACCAUUUAAAAACCCAGUGUAGAGGGCAGGCCUGGGUCCCCCUGCCAGCUCCUGGGAAGUGGCACGGUGCGCUGGCAGUGCUAGCCAGACAGCUGGUUUGGAAGGACUUUGAGCUCUGCCAAAGGGGAGGAACCUAGUGACUUGGCUGGAGGGCCUAGCCACAAACAAGAAGUUGGAGCUCAGAGCGUGAGAGGGGCCACAGGGAGAAAGAGAUGACGGGUAGAGACACCGCCAGAGGAGGGCAGUGCCUGGCAAGAGCUAAUCCCUAGAGCCACUAGGAGAAGGUGCCACACGUGGGCCUGAUUCAAAAGCUCAUGUGGCCACUUCUGUUGGGGACAGCAGGGAGCACUGGACUGGGAGUAAGGAGAAAUGGGUUGUCUUCCUGCCUCUGCCACAGACUUCCCGGAUGACUUUAGCAUAUCACGACUAAGGAAAAGCUCGUGCAACGAGAUGAAAUACAGAGGGGUCCCCCCCCCCAUUGCCUUCAGCAGUAGAUUGACUGUUGGAACUCUCUGGAGCAUUGCUGGAAGGUCUGAGCAGAUU
Molecule: non-coding RNA, 2113 nt
Organism: Chrysemys picta bellii (western painted turtle)
Lineage: Eukaryota; Metazoa; Chordata; Testudines; Emydidae
Source: RefSeq, a predicted model, not a curated record